Molecule: unclassified non-coding RNA, 401 nt
Filed under: soil metagenome
Description: partial contains 5.8S ribosomal RNA, internal transcribed spacer 2, and large subunit ribosomal RNA
Rfam family: 5.8S ribosomal RNA (bases 1-121)
Source: RNAcentral
GAUGAAGAACGCAGCGAAAUGCGAUAAGUAAUGUGAAUUGCAGAAUUCAGUGAAUCAUCGAAUCUUUGAACGCACCUUGCGCCCUUUGGCCAUUCCGAAGGGCAUGCCUGUUUGAGUAUCAUGAACACCUCAACUCUCAUGGCUCGCCAUGAUGAGCUUGGAUUUGGGGGUCUUGCUGGCCUGUGGUCGGCUCCUCUCAAAUGGAUCAGCUUGCCAGUGUUUGGUGGCAUCACAGGUGUGAUAACUAUCUGCGCAUGUGGUUUUCCAUCAGAUAACCUUCAGUGAUGGAGGUUCGCUGGAGCUCAUAAACGUCUCCCCUAAGCGGGGACAGCCCUUUGAAUGUUUGAUCUCAAAUCAGGUAGGACUACCCGCUGAACUUAAGCAUAUCAAUAAGCGGAGGA